ACCAUCACGGAGUCACCGCCGCGAUAAUGUGGACUCGACACGAGAUCUUCAUCAUCAACAGGGAAGAACUCGGGGUCUUAAGGAAAACCGGCUAUCAAGAGUCUCAGGUUUCAGCGGUGCUACGUGUGUCGGUCGAGUAAGGAUAUAUAAGUACCUAGUAGUAAUGAUUGGUAACUAAACCAGACGCGUCCGUUGUCGCUCGUGACGUGACCGCAUCCUAAAACCAAAGUUGUGUGAUUUAUUGAUAAAUUUCCGCGGGUUCGGUGAAAGCUUAGCGGUUGGUGACAGUCAGAAUAACCUUCAUUUAAAGAACUCAGUGCUGACUCCUUGAAGUCCAUAUCAAGAUUACGGGGCCUAAGAUUAGUUUACUGUCUCUAACGUGAGCCCCGUGAAUGAUGCAAUGUC
Molecule: long non-coding RNA, 405 nt
Organism: Bombyx mandarina (wild silkworm)
Lineage: Eukaryota; Metazoa; Arthropoda; Insecta; Lepidoptera; Bombycidae
Source: RefSeq, a predicted model, not a curated record